This 433-nucleotide ribosomal RNA is filed under the name uncultured bacterium. Its description in RNAcentral is "partial 16S ribosomal RNA". It matches the Rfam family "Bacterial small subunit ribosomal RNA", at positions 29 to 507 of the family's 1533-position model. The record is from RNAcentral.
AACGAACGCUGGCGGCAUGCCUAACACAUGCAAGUCGAACGAGACCUUCGGGUCGAGUGGCGCACGGGUGCGUAACGCGUGGGAACCUGCCCUUAGGUUCGGAAUAACUCCCCGAAAGGGGUGCUAAUACCGGAUAAUGUCUUCGGACCAAAGAUUUAUCGCCUGUGGAUGGGCCCGCGUUUGAUUAGCUAGUUGGUAGGGUAAAAGCCUACCAAGGCUACGAUCCAUAGCUGGUCUGAGAGGAUGAUCAGCCACACUGGGACUGAGACCCGGCCCAGACUCGUACGGGAGGCAGCAGUGGGGAAUAUUGGACAAUGGGCGACAGCCUGAUCCAGCAAUGCCGCGUGAGUGAUGACGGCCUUAGGGUUGUAAAGCUCUUUUACCCGGGAUGAUAAUGACAGUACCGGGAGAAUAAGCGCCGGCUAACUCCGUG